GGUUGAUCCUGCCAGUAGUCAUAUGCUUGUCUCAACGACUAAGCCAUGCAUGUCUAAGUAUAAAUGUUAUACAGUGAAACUGCGAAUGGCUCAUUAAAACAGUUAUAGUUUAUUUGAUAAUCAAAUUUACAUGGAUAACCGUGGUAAUUCUAGAGCUAAUACAUGCUGUUAAGCCUGACUUUUAGGAAGGGCUGUAUUUAUUAGAUAACAAACCAAUAUUCCCCGUGUCUAUUGUGAUGACUCAUAAUAACUGAUCGAAUCGCAUGGACCUUGUCCGCGAUACAUCAUUCAAG
This 293-nucleotide ribosomal RNA is filed under the name uncultured eukaryote. RNAcentral describes it as "partial 18S ribosomal RNA". It matches the Rfam family "Eukaryotic small subunit ribosomal RNA", at positions 6 to 303 of the family's 1831-position model. The record is from RNAcentral.